Molecule: long non-coding RNA, 598 nt
Organism: Sinocyclocheilus grahami
Lineage: Eukaryota; Metazoa; Chordata; Actinopteri; Cypriniformes; Cyprinidae
Exons: 3
Source: RefSeq, a predicted model, not a curated record
UCAGCGGCAGCUAAUGUGGCAAACGUCAUGCCCAUGCAAUCAGGUACCAAGAAGAUUGAUCCCAACAUGAAAGGAGGUCAGACCAGCGAGGGCGUGCUAGCUAACUUCUUCAACAGUCUGUUGACUAAGAAAGCAGGCUCACCCGGCCCGGGCGGCCAACCCACAGGAGGAGGGAGCAACACGCCAGGAACAGUCCGCAAGUCAGAUCUUUGACAUCAGCGACGGUAAAAUAAAUAUAUUUGAUAAUCUCAUCUGCAUGUUCAGCUAAAAACCCCACUAAUCAUUGAAGCUAACAUGCUGUCACCAUCCUUGUUCUUCUCAGUGCAUCAGAUUACUGAGUUAUAACCCAGUAAUCUAACACAAAACUCAACAGAGCAAAUUAGCUUACACAACCUCCUUAACGGAAUGAAAAUUGUCUUCACUUACUUGCCCUCAUGUUGUUCCAAACCUGUAUGACUGACUUUCUUCUAUGGAACUAAGGCUGUGACGGUAUGGGAUUUUUCUUACCGCGGUGAAGACGCAACAAAUCACCGCGGUUUGGCGGUUAAUCGUAACCCCCUCCCCCUCCCUCAGCCGCCGCGGAAAUAUGACUUAAGAA